GGAGAGAUGGCAGAGUGGUUUAUUGCAUCGGUCUUGAAAACCGAAGUGCCGGCAACGGUACCGUGGGUUCGAAUCCCUCUCUCUCCGCCA
This 90-nucleotide transfer RNA is filed under the name Puniceicoccales bacterium. RNAcentral describes it as "tRNA-Ser". It matches the Rfam family "tRNA". Rfam says of the family: Transfer RNA (tRNA) molecules are approximately 80 nucleotides in length. Lineage: Bacteria; Pseudomonadati; Verrucomicrobiota; Opitutia; Puniceicoccales. The record is from RNAcentral.